Long non-coding RNA from Talpa occidentalis (Iberian mole), 183 nucleotides. RefSeq lists it as uncharacterized. NCBI's taxonomy places the organism in Eukaryota, Metazoa, Chordata, Mammalia, Eulipotyphla, Talpidae. The transcript is spliced from 3 exons. The record is from RefSeq and is a predicted model, not a curated record.
GUUAACAGGGUGCUCAUGUCUUCACCAUAGAUGAUAGUCUCUACAGGAUCCAUAGUUCCCUGGAAGUCCAGGGAAUAUGGCCUAAGGGUUGAAUAGAGCCAGGAGGGAGUCAUCUUAUAUGCACCACUGAUGGGGAAGGACAGCAGGAAUCCCCAGGACAAUGUUAAAUAGAAGCGGUAAGAG